GAUGAACGCUGGCGGCGUGCCUAACACAUGCAAGUCGAGCGGCAGCACGGUCUUCGGACUGGUGGCGAGCGGCGGACGGCUGAGUAACGCGUAGGAACGUACCCCAAAGUGAGGGAUAACUGCUCGAAAGAGUAGCUAAUACCGCAUGUGAUCUAAGGAUUAAAGCUACGGCGCUUUGGGAACGGCCUGCGUCCGAUUAGCUAGUUGGUGAGGUAAAAGCUCACCAAGGCGACGAUCGGUAGCUGGUCUGAGAGGAUGAUCAGCCAGACUGGGACUGAGACACGGCCCAGACUCCUACGGGAGGCAGCAGUAGGGAAUUGUCCACAAUGGGCGAAAGCCUGAUGGAGCAACGCCGCGUGCAGGAUGAAUGCCUUCGGGUUGUAAACUGCUUUUAUGUGUGACGAAUAUGACGGUAGCAUAUGAAUAAGGAUCGGCUAACUCCGUGCCAGCCGCCGCGGUAA
Molecule: ribosomal RNA, 461 nt
Filed under: uncultured bacterium
Lineage: Bacteria
Description: partial 16S ribosomal RNA
Rfam family: Bacterial small subunit ribosomal RNA
Source: RNAcentral